This 253-nucleotide ribosomal RNA is filed under the name uncultured bacterium. RNAcentral describes it as "partial 16S ribosomal RNA". It matches the Rfam family "Bacterial small subunit ribosomal RNA", at positions 524 to 776 of the family's 1533-position model. The record is from RNAcentral.
UACGUAGGGCGCAAGCGUUGUCCGGAAUUAUUGGGCGUAAAGAGCUUGUAGGUGGUUUGUCGCGUUGUUCGUGAAAUCUCACGGCUUAACUGUGAGCGUGCGGGCGAUACGGGCAGACUAGAGUACUGCAGGGGAGACUGGAAUUCCUGGUGUAGCGGUGGAAUGCGCAGAUAUCAGGAGGAACACCGGUGGCGAAGGCGGGUCUCUGGGCAGUAACUGACGCUGAGAAGCGAAAGCGUGGGGAGCGAACAGG